GCUACGGGCAAGAUAAAGUCUUGAUGUUCUCAUUUGUGGAACGACGUCCCUUUCUUUUGAAAAAUCGCUGCGAAGAUUCUCAGCAGAUAUGUGUGUCAAUGGACAAGUGCUUAUCAAUCAACCACCAUGGCUGCCUUCUCAAUCUACUAGAAAAUCUAAAGAUUUUAUAUCUUAGAAACCAAUCCCUUCGAACCAAAUGCUUAUAAACCAAUCCGUUCUA
Molecule: long non-coding RNA, 220 nt
Filed under: Phoenix dactylifera (date palm)
Lineage: Eukaryota; Viridiplantae; Streptophyta; Magnoliopsida; Arecales; Arecaceae
Description: long non-coding RNA (PDAC_LNC016719)
Source: RNAcentral